UUAAGGUACCACCAGUGUCGGUGGUGCAGGCCAAAGGUGUGGACGCAGUCUGUAUCUUGGUGCUGUAAACCACAGUUGGGGAAUCAAUGGAACCUUUCCAGCAGAAGGCAAGUACCCACCUGACGUUACUCGUACCCAAGCAUCUGGUAAUACCCCAGCAACACUGACCAUCCCAGCCACAGCACAUUACAACAAUACUGUGGUGCUGUGUAGAGUUGAAGGAGGGCUCAGGCUGACCGAGAAUGCUACCUUGACGAUAUUUGCAAUUUCUGCUAAAACAAGUAUAUAAUGAUACGGAUACUAUCAUUUUGUCAUGGGCUUACGUUUACUACCAACCUCACGUACUGUGUGAACUUCAACAAAAUGACAAUUGUCUGCAAUAAGACACUUCCUCCAGUGUGUGGACUUACAGAGACGCAGUACACUUUACAUAUCCCAACCACAAUCGGUAUGACAAUUUUUUUCACGGUGACUCCUGUUGAUGGAGGGAAUCAGAUGAAAGGAACAGCUAUAGUGAACCAGUUGCUGGAUCAUUUACAUCAGCUAGAGGUGUAAGAACAGUUGUCAGCCAAGAAGAAGACUCAGAUAAAAAAUGUGUGAUGUUUGAAGCAAUGGUCCCUGAAUGUACACUGUUUACUUUGUAUCGAGUGGAAUUUGGAUCACUACUAGUAGGAUUCUAAGAGUGGUGCUCUUAACGCAUCUGGAAAUGUUUCAAUCACCUUCUCACUUCCUACUGACAUUCUAACAAAUAUCUCUGUGCUGUGCUGCUAAUGGAAUUGACCUGAUGUUUGAAAGUUUAUUAAGUACUAGUGAUAUUCAAAGACUUCUACCUGAGACUGAUUGUUCCGAAAGCAUCAGUGUUUGUGGUCGUAUUGAAUAUGCUGUGGAUUCUUUUUCUAUUGGGGCUCUAAUGUAUUUAGUUCCCAUCACAAGUUAUCAUGCACAAGUGAGUCCAACAGCAUUAUGUUGGCUGUGCCAAGGAGUACGGGUGAUAGUUUCAGUAUCAGUCACAUACCUCCUGGAAGAUACAGUCUCCUUGCUUUUGACCUGGAGAACAACCGUCUGCCAAGAAUGCCACUCUCUCUAGCAUCUACAAGUGAAAUACUGGAAGUGAGUACGUCACGAGGAACUGCUGCUCCCCUGCCCAAUAGUGUAGGAAUCACUGCCGUUAAGUUAAUCAAUGGAGAUGUUGAAGUGUACUGCUCUAUAUACCUGUAACGAACUGCUUGGUGUUGGUUCGUUCAAUCAACUCUCCAGAACAAUUAUAUGUCCGGCUCAUCAACUCUACUGAUGAAAGAAGAACUGUCUUCUCUGUUGAUCUCAUUGGUAUAAUGCCACAGCCUUUGUAGUAGUGCUCACUUGGGAGAAAAUGACUUUAUAUUUGACAGUCAAUUAUCCCUCAUCACCCAACUAGAAACAUAUCCUAACUGGAAACAUCGGUUAGGUUGUUUCAGUCAGAUUAUUUGUUACGAUGUAGGAGUAGUAUUAUAGUUGUUGACAAUGCCUUGAUAAGAUUGUUAAUUAGCCUAGUUUAUUCAAAACAAUUAUUCAUCUUAAAAUAUUCCCACCUGCAGCUGUCUCAACCAUGCCAAUCAUUUCGGCUCCUCAGACACUACCCACUGCAGUAGUAGCAGGUCAGUCAAAACCAACCAUCAACUACGGCUCUAAAUGGCCAAUAAUUGGUACUAACUGCAUGGGUCUACUAGCUGUCUUGCAUGUACAUGCACUUCUAUGUAUGAAAAAGGAUUUUUGCUUUCUUGUUGCAUGCACUGUGAUUACUACACUGGUGGUGGUGUCCAUUU
Long non-coding RNA from Halichondria panicea, 1802 nucleotides. RefSeq lists it as uncharacterized. The record is from RefSeq and is a predicted model, not a curated record. The transcript is spliced from 6 exons. NCBI's taxonomy places the organism in Eukaryota, Metazoa, Porifera, Demospongiae, Suberitida, Halichondriidae.